This 773-nucleotide ribosomal RNA is filed under the name uncultured cyanobacterium. Its description in RNAcentral is "bacterial SSU rRNA". It matches the Rfam family "Bacterial small subunit ribosomal RNA", at positions 36 to 854 of the family's 1533-position model. Lineage: Bacteria; Bacillati; Cyanobacteriota. The record is from RNAcentral.
CUGGCGGUCUGCUUUACACAUGCAAGUCGAACGGAAUCCUUCGGGAUUUAGUGGCGGACGGGUGAGUAACACGUAAGAACCUGCCUCUAGGACGGGGACAACAGUUGGAAACGACUGCUAAACCCGGAUGAGCCGAAAGGUAAAAGAUUAAUCGCCUAGAGAGGGGCUUGCGUCUGAUUAGCUAGUUGGUGAGGUAAGAGCCCACCAAGGCGACGAUCAGUAGCUGGUCUGAGAGGAUGAUCAGCCACACUGGGACUGAGACACGGCCCAGACUCCUACGGGAGGCAGCAGUGGGGAAUUUUCCGCAAUGGGCGAAAGCCUGACGGAGCAAGACCGCGUGGGGGAGGAAGGUUCUUGGAUUGUCAACCCCUUUUCUCAGGGAAGAACACAAUGACGGUACCUGAGGAAAAAGCAUUGGCUAACUCCGUGCCAGCAGCCGCGGUAAUACGGGGGAUGCAAGCGUUAUCCGGAAUGAUUGGGCGUAAAGAGUCCGUAGGUAGUCAUCCAAGUCUGCUGUUAAAGAGCGAGGCUUAACCUCGUAAAGGCAGUGGAAACUGGAAGACUAGAGUGUAGUAGGGGCAGAGGGAAUUCCUGGUGUAGCGGUGAAAUGCGUAGAGAUCAGGAAGAACACCGGUGGCGAAGGCGCUCUGCUGGGCUAUAACUGACACUGAGGGACGAAAGCUAGGGGAGCGAUGGGAUUAGAUACCCCAGUAGUCCUAGCGGUAACGAUGGAAACUAGGUGUGGCUGUAUCGACCCGGCCGUGCCGAAGCAA